This 253-nucleotide ribosomal RNA is filed under the name uncultured bacterium. Its description in RNAcentral is "partial 16S ribosomal RNA". It matches the Rfam family "Bacterial small subunit ribosomal RNA", at positions 524 to 776 of the family's 1533-position model. The record is from RNAcentral.
UACAGAGGGGGCUAGCGUUGUUCGGAAUUACUGGGCGUAAAGCGUUCGUAGGCGGUUUGCCGUGUCGGGUGUGAAAGCCCCGGGCUCAACCUGGGAAUUGCAUGGGAAACUGGCAGGCUUGAGUGUGGCAGAGGAGGGUGGAAUUCCGCGUGUAGCAGUGAAAUGCGUAGAGAUGCGGAGGAACACCGAUGGCGAAGGCAGCCCUCUGGGCCAACACUGACGCUCAGGCACGAAAGCGUGGGGAGCAAACAGG